AUUUGUUGAAGUGAGAUGUUUAGAAAUGGUAUGUUCAUGGUGGUGAUGUUGUGUUGCGGUUGGUUUCUUUGUUCAUUGAAGUUGAGAAAUGAUGGAGGAUAUGAUAUGGAUCUACAAUAUGCUAGCAAGAAAGAAACUUAGUUCUCUUUUUGUUAUAGAAGGGCUCAAAGAAGUUCUGUAACCUUUAAGGUCUAGUUUACUGAGAGUUUAUAAGGAGGUGGUUGUUAUGUGUUUUUUUUU
This 240-nucleotide long non-coding RNA is filed under the name Lathyrus oleraceus (garden pea). RNAcentral's name for it is "Pisum sativum (pea) long non-coding RNA (PSAT_LNC034895)". The record is from RNAcentral. Lineage: Eukaryota; Viridiplantae; Streptophyta; Magnoliopsida; Fabales; Fabaceae.